CUGCCCACUGAAGAAUUUUGAAGGGCCGCAGUAUUUUGACUGUGCAAAGGUAGCAUAAUCAUUAGUCUUUUAAUUGAGGGCUGGUAUGAAUGGUUGGAUGAGGUAAAUUCUGUUUUAUAUCAAUUGGAAUUGAAUUUAGGUUUUAAGUAAAAAUACUUAGAUGUUAUUAAGGGACGAGAAGACCCUAUAGAGUUUAAUAAGUGUAAUAAGUAAUUGAGUUAUAAAAAAAUUUUUAGUUUUUGUAAAAUUUAUUUAAUUGGGGUGAUUAAAAGAUAUAAGAAACUUUUUUUUAAUUUCAAUAUUAUAUUUAGUUAUUUGAUCCAUGUUUAAUGAUUAUAAGAUUAAAUUACCUUAGGGAUAACAGCAUAAUUUUUUUUGAAAGUUCAUAUUGAGAAAAAAGAUUGUGACCUCGAUGUUGGAUUAAGAUAAGUUUUGGGUGUAGAUGUUCAUAA
RNAcentral lists this ribosomal RNA (452 nucleotides) under Sibylla pannulata. RNAcentral describes it as "partial 16S ribosomal RNA". It matches the Rfam family "Bacterial large subunit ribosomal RNA", at positions 1859 to 2568 of the family's 2925-position model. Lineage: Eukaryota; Metazoa; Arthropoda; Insecta; Mantodea; Hymenopodidae. The record is from RNAcentral.